RNAcentral lists this ribosomal RNA (460 nucleotides) under uncultured bacterium. RNAcentral describes it as "bacterial SSU rRNA". It matches the Rfam family "Bacterial small subunit ribosomal RNA", at positions 340 to 789 of the family's 1533-position model. The record is from RNAcentral.
UACGGAAGGCAGCAGUGGGGAAUAUUGCACAAUGGGCGAAAGCCUGAUGCAGCUAUGCCGCGUGUAUGAAGAAGGCCUUAGGGUUGUAAAGUACUUUCAUCGGGGAGGAAAAAACAAAACUAAUAAUUUUAUUUCUUGACGUUACCCGAAAAAGAAGCACCGGCUAACUCCGUGCCAGCAGCCGCGGUAAUACGGAGGGUGCUAGCGUUAAUCAGAAUUACUGGGCGUAAAGAGCACGUAGGUGGUUUUUUUAAGUCAGAUGUGAAAUCCCUGGGCUUAACCUAGGAACUGCAUUUUGAAACUGAAAUACUAGAGUAUCGUAGAGGGAGGUAGAAUUCUAGGUGUAGCGGUUGAAAUGCGUAGAUAUCUGGAGGAAUACCUGUGGCGAAAGCGGCCUCCUAAACGAAUACUGACACUGAGGUGCGAAAGCGUGGGGAGCAAACAGGGAUUAGAUACCCGU